UAUAAAUUGUACCCAAAAAUUCAGGAUCAGAACUUUACUCUCUUUCUCGAUCAUUCUUACCUCGUAAACAGUAAAAGAAACCUCAACUGGUCCAUUCUUGUAAACUUCUGUCAUGAUACUGUACGGAUCGGAGUUGAUCAGGUAUGCAUUGACGCCAAAAUGCUUGGAUUUACUCCAGAGUAGAUUCUCUUUAACACACUUCCUCUUGCACUGUGGAGUGGGAUAUCCAGGUUCACAUCCAGGGUGGGAACAUCCCUUAUUAUCAAAGUAAGGGUCACACUGACAGGAAAAAUUUUAUUAGUCGAGCAUAAUGAUCCACAAUCUUUUUUCAGAUUGGUAUAAGAAUCCCACAAUAUCUGAAAGAUGUAAUCCCUCUGAAGUACAAUAAGUGUAUAACAAAACAGAAUACCUCUUCAGUGACCACACCCUUGCGAACAAAGUAUUUCCAAGCUUCUAAUGGAUAUCCACCAUCACAACCAUCCCCACAUAAAUAGCCACAGCAUGCUACGAUAUCAUUAGCUGACAGAGAGAUAUUCUGCCUCACACAUAAAAAUUGAAUCAUUAGCGACAAUAACUAGAAUAAACUUGCAAGUUUUUGCAUGAAGGAAUGAAUUUACCAAGCCAUAAUGAAUACAGAAACGAUCAGACAAUGACUCAGCAGCACCAAAAGCCCAACAAGAACCACAAUGUCCCUGAAAUAUAAACGAUCAGAUUGUUAGAAUACCAGGAAAGAGCGAUUUAGCAAAUUCACGAGGAAAAACAAAUGAGUGAAAUUAGAACCAAGACAAAUCACCUGAUCUGCGUCGCAAAACAGUACCGGUGCAUGACAUCGAAAGAUGGAAAGCAUUAGCACCACUCUAUAGAAUUACAGCACUAAACCAAGGACAAAAGAGAAGAAACUAACCAAGAAUUCUCCCAAUAGUGCUACACUGAGGCCAAGCCACUCGUGCAUCAAACUCUUGGGGUAACUUCAAAAGUUCUGGAUGAGUUAAAAUAGGGAUGCCCUUCAAAUCACCCUUUCUUGUGGGCUUAACUCCAAGAAGGCGCUUAAAUUGGGAAACCUGUGAAUGAAGGGUACAUGCACUCAUAAAAGGAGAGCUGAAGGAUGUGGCAUUGCACAAAGAAAG
RNAcentral lists this long non-coding RNA (1127 nucleotides) under Solanum tuberosum (potato). RNAcentral's name for it is "long non-coding RNA (STUB_LNC002918)". Lineage: Eukaryota; Viridiplantae; Streptophyta; Magnoliopsida; Solanales; Solanaceae. The record is from RNAcentral.